CUGCCAGCCGCCGCGGUAAUACGGAGGGUGCAAGCGUUAUCCGGAUUCAUUGGGUUUAAAGGGUGCGCAGGCGGAUACUUAAGUCAGUGGUGAAAUCCCGGGGCUCAACCCCGGAACUGCCAUUGAUACUGAAUAUCUGGAAUACGGUUGAAGUGGGCGGAAUGUAGCAUGUAGCGGUGAAAUGCAUAGAGAUGCUACAGAACACCGAUCGCGAAGGCAGCUCACUAAGCCGAUAUUGACGCUCAGGCACGAAAGCGUGGGGAGCAAACAGGAUUAGAUACCCUGGUAGUCCACGCCCUAAACGAUGAGGACUAGACGUUGGGGGAUAAACCCUUUAGUGUCGCAGCUAACGCGUGAAGUCCUCCGCCUGGGGAGUACGGCCGCAAGGUUGAAACUCAAAUGAAUUGACGG
Molecule: ribosomal RNA, 411 nt
Filed under: uncultured bacterium
Lineage: Bacteria
Description: bacterial SSU rRNA
Rfam family: Bacterial small subunit ribosomal RNA
Source: RNAcentral